Molecule: ribosomal RNA, 378 nt
Filed under: Triticum aestivum (bread wheat)
Lineage: Eukaryota; Viridiplantae; Streptophyta; Magnoliopsida; Poales; Poaceae
Description: partial small subunit ribosomal RNA
Source: RNAcentral
AUGGGGUGGAAGGGAAGCAACAAUCAUCAGUGCACGAGCCGUCUCAAGCAAAUGACGAUGCUUGCGCUCGGCAACGCCAUUCUGAGCAUGAGCACCAGGAUAAGAGAACUGGGCAAGAGUACCCUGUUCCGCGAGAAAACCACACAACAGCUGAGAGAUAUACUCUCCAGCGGAGUCAGCACGAAACGUAUGAAUGGGCGUGGCAAACUGGGUGUGAACCAUGGCAGCAAAACGUUUGUAUAUAGGAAGAACCUUGCUACGAGAUUUCAUGAAGUAGAGCCAAGUGUAGCGAGAGAAAUCAUCAAUAAACAAGACAUAAUAGCGUUGACCACCUUUCGAAUCAAAGGGAGCAGGACCCCAGACAUCAGAAUGAACUAA